RNAcentral lists this ribosomal RNA (403 nucleotides) under uncultured bacterium. RNAcentral describes it as "partial 16S ribosomal RNA". It matches the Rfam family "Bacterial small subunit ribosomal RNA", at positions 28 to 526 of the family's 1533-position model. The record is from RNAcentral.
GACGAACGCUGGCGGCGUGCCUAAUACAUGCAAGUCGAACGCAGGGGGGGCGGGUGAGUAACACGUGGGUAACCUCCCAUCAGAGGGGAUAACACUUGGACACAGGUGCUAAACCGAUACUGAUGGAUGGACCCGCGGUGCAUUAGCUAGUGGGUGGGGUAACGGCUCACCAAGGCCACGAUGCAUAGCGGACCGGGGAGGGUGAUCGGCCACACUGGGACUGAGACACGGCCCAGACUCCUACGGGAGGCAGCAGUAGGGAAUCUUCGGCAAUGGACGAAAGUCUGACCGAGCAACGCCGCGGGAGUGAAGAAGGUUUUCGGAUCGUAAAACUUUGUUGUUAGAGAAGCGGUAUCUAACCAGAAAGCCACGGCUAACUACGUGCCAGCAGCCGCGGUAAUUC